AAAUUGAAGAGUUUGAUCAUGGCUCAGAUUGAACGCUGGCGGCAGGCCUAACACAUGCAAGUCGAACGGUAGCAGGAAGCAGCUUGCUGCUUUGCUGACGAGUGGCGGACGGGUGAGUAAUGUCUGGGAAACUGCCUGAUGGAGGGGGAUAACUACUGGAAACGGUGGCUAAUACCGCAUAACGUCGCAAGACCAAAGAGGGGGACCUUCGGGCCUCUUGCCAUCAGAUGUGCCCAGAUGGGAUUAGCUAGUUGGUGAGGUAACGGCUCACCAAGGCGACGAUCCCUAGCUGGUCUGAGAGGAUGACCAGCCACACUGGAACUGAGACACGGUCCAGACUCCUACGGGAGGCAGCAGUGGGGAAUAUUGCACAAUGGGCGCAAGCCUGAUGCAGCCAUGCCGCGUGUAUGAAGAAGGCCUUCGGGUUGUAAAGUACUUUCAGCGGGGAGGAAGGUGUUGUGGUUAAUAACCGCAGCAAUUGACGUUACCCGCAG
Molecule: ribosomal RNA, 494 nt
Filed under: Salmonella enterica subsp. enterica serovar Emek
Lineage: Bacteria; Pseudomonadati; Pseudomonadota; Gammaproteobacteria; Enterobacterales; Enterobacteriaceae
Description: bacterial SSU rRNA
Rfam family: Bacterial small subunit ribosomal RNA
Source: RNAcentral